This 679-nucleotide ribosomal RNA is filed under the name Scleroderma sp. RNAcentral describes it as "LSU rRNA". It matches the Rfam family "Eukaryotic large subunit ribosomal RNA", at positions 165 to 820 of the family's 3401-position model. The record is from RNAcentral. Lineage: Eukaryota; Fungi; Basidiomycota; Agaricomycetes; Boletales; Sclerodermataceae.
CCGCGCCGGACCGUGUACAAGUCUCCUGGAAGGGAGCAUCGUAGAGGGUGACAAUCCCGUCUCUGACACGGAUCCCCGGUGCUAUGUGAUGCGCUCUCGACGAGUCGAGUUGUUUGGGAAUGCAGCUCAAAUCGGGUGGUAAACUCCAUCUAAAGCUAAAUACAGGCGAGAGACCGAUAGCGAACAAGUACCGUGAGGGAAAGAUGAAAAGAACUUUGGAAAGAGAGUUAAACAGUACGUGAAAUUGCUGGAAGGGAAACGCUUGACGUCAGUCGCGUCGUCCGGGGAUCAACCUCGCUUUUCGCUGGGCGUAUUUCCCGGUCGACGGGUCAGCAUCGAUUUCGACCGUCGUAGAAGGACGCGAGUGAAUGUGGCACUCCACGGGGUGUGUUAUAGCCUCGCGUAUGGAUGCGAUGGUCGGGAUCGAGGAACUCGGCACGACCCCUCGAGGGUUCGGGGCUUCGGUCCACGCGCGUGCCCAGGAUGCUGGCGUAAUGGCUUUAAGCGACCCGUCUUGAAACACGGACCAAGGAGUCUAACGUGCCUGCGAGUGUUCGGGUGCAAAACCCGAGCGCGCAACGAAAGUGAAAGUCGAGACCUCCGUCGUGGAGGGCACCGACGCCCGGACCGGAGCCUUUGGCGAUGGAUCUGCGGUAGAGCAUGUAUGUUGGGACCCGAA